RNAcentral lists this ribosomal RNA (79 nucleotides) under Enterocytozoon bieneusi. RNAcentral's name for it is "partial large subunit ribosomal RNA". Lineage: Eukaryota; Fungi; Microsporidia; Enterocytozoonidae. The record is from RNAcentral.
GCGAGCGGCAGUAGGGUGCCAUCAAGAGGUGUAUUUGGAAAUAUCCCUAAUACAGGAUCACUUGGAUCCGUCGGCGAUA